RNAcentral lists this long non-coding RNA (439 nucleotides) under Mustela putorius furo (domestic ferret). RNAcentral's name for it is "lncRNA (ENSMPUG00000025938.1)". Lineage: Eukaryota; Metazoa; Chordata; Mammalia; Carnivora; Mustelidae. The record is from RNAcentral.
CACAGAGCCUGGCACACGGGGGUGACCCAGGAAUUAUUGGCAGAAUGUACAUAUCAGUGUGAAUGGAAGCCCUGAUGACUCAAGAAGCCUAUGGGGUGGAGAGGGGACAUCCCUGCUCCAUGCCCAAAGCCUGCUAUGAGUGGACAGCUCUGAGCAAGGCUCUCCUUCAACCAGGACAGAGGAAUCCUGGGUCAGAUCACACUCCCUGGCUGGAGGCACACUGGCAGAACUUUCUCCUCUGACAGAGGCCAUCAAGUCAACUUUUGGCUCUGACAAGAAUGCUAAACCUGGGAAUCAGGAAAAGAAUCCGAAGACUGGGGCUUCUUCAUGUAUCCUUUGAAACCGUCUUUAAACACCUUUUUUUGGUGAGAGACACAGAUGGCUCCAAGGUGAAACAGAUAGUCUCUCUUCCUUUAAGGAACUCCCAGUCAGACAGAUA